CACUGUUUGGUUUGGGAAUAGGGAUAGGAAUAGGCCCUUAUACCCCCCUUUAUAUCCAAACGCUAAUUUUUUAUCCGAGAAUAGUAGUUCUCGGUUAUCCCCACCAACACUCCAUUUUCUAUAUAAAACUUCCUAAUAUUUUUCUUAUCCUCGGGAACAACCCAAUUUUUAUCCAAACGCUAUUUUUCUUAUCCUCAUACUUGUACCUAUCCCUAUAAUAACUAGUUCUUACUUAUACCCGAACCAAACGGUACCUAUAUAUAUAUAUAUAUCCAGGGAUUCUUUGCGAUAUUUAGUUUUUAAUGAAUUUAAAAAAUUAAUGUUCUUAGAUAUUAGGAAAGGUAAUAGAAGAGGAAGUAAAUAAAAGUUUA
This 371-nucleotide long non-coding RNA is filed under the name Ananas comosus (pineapple). RNAcentral's name for it is "long non-coding RNA (ACOM_LNC018742)". Lineage: Eukaryota; Viridiplantae; Streptophyta; Magnoliopsida; Poales; Bromeliaceae. The record is from RNAcentral.